This 443-nucleotide ribosomal RNA is filed under the name uncultured bacterium. Its description in RNAcentral is "partial 16S ribosomal RNA". It matches the Rfam family "Bacterial small subunit ribosomal RNA", at positions 338 to 795 of the family's 1533-position model. The record is from RNAcentral.
CCUACGGGAGGCAGCAGUGGGGAAUAUUGGGCAAUGGGCGCAAGCCUGACCCAGCAACGCCGCGUGAAGGAAGAAGGCUUUCGGGUUGUAAACUUCUUUUCUCAGGGACGAAGCAAGUGACGGUACCGGAGGAAUAAGCCACGGCUAAAUACGUGCCAGCAGCCGCGGUAAUACGUAGGUGGCAAGCGUUAUCCGGAUUUACUGGGUGUAAAGGGCGUGUAGGCGGGGACGCAAGUCAGAUGUGAAAACCACGGGCUCAACCUGUGGCCUGCAUUUGAAACUGUGUUUCUUGAGUACUGGAGAGGCAGACGGAAUUCCUAGUGUAGCGGUGAAAUGCGUAGAUAUUAGGAGGAACACCAGUGGCGAAGGCGGUCUGCUGGACAGCAACUGACGCUGAGGCGCGAAAGCGUGGGGAGCAAACAGGAUUAGAUACCCUUGUAGUC